This 103-nucleotide non-coding RNA is filed under the name human gut metagenome. Its description in RNAcentral is "Glycine riboswitch". It matches the Rfam family "Glycine riboswitch aptamer", at positions 9 to 86 of the family's 94-position model. From Rfam's summary of the family: This family represents the bacterial glycine riboswitch. The record is from RNAcentral.
GAUUCUCUGGAGAGUCUCUACAUGGGCGCCGAAGGUGUACGCAGAAGAUGUGAUGCCGUUUACACAGCUUCUACAAUCUCUCAGGCAAAAGGACAGGGUUUUA